This 330-nucleotide unclassified non-coding RNA is filed under the name Mycobacterium parascrofulaceum. RNAcentral describes it as "partial contains 16S ribosomal RNA, 16S-23S ribosomal RNA intergenic spacer, and 23S ribosomal RNA". The record is from RNAcentral. Lineage: Bacteria; Bacillati; Actinomycetota; Actinomycetes; Mycobacteriales; Mycobacteriaceae.
AAGACAGUAGCCGUACCGGAAGGUGCGGCUGGAUCACCUCCUUUCUAAGGAGCACCACGAAAAGCACCCCAACUGGUGGGGUGCGAGCCGUGAGGGGUUCUCGCCUGUAGUGGGCGGGAGCCGGGUGCGCAACAGCAAAUGAUUGCCAGACACACUAUUGGGCCCUGAGACAACACUCGGCUCGUUCUGAGUGGUGUCCCUCCACCUUGGUGGUGGGGUGUGGUGUUUGAGUAUUGGAUAGUGGUUGCGAGCAUCUAAACGGAUGCGUUGCCGGCAACGGUGGCGUGUUCGUUGAAAUGUGUAAUUCUUCUUUGGUUUUGUGGACAGAUU